Molecule: long non-coding RNA, 2197 nt
Filed under: Sinocyclocheilus grahami
Lineage: Eukaryota; Metazoa; Chordata; Actinopteri; Cypriniformes; Cyprinidae
Description: lncRNA (ENSSGRG00000022750.1)
Source: RNAcentral
GUUCCACCGCAGAUUCGACGAGCUCCCAAAAAGCUGCCGACGGGGUCCGACUAGUGCCAAUGCUAAACUAGUCCAACAGAUGCUCAACAACAGUCCGACAUUGGCCAGCGGUCAACCGUCAUCUUGGUGUGUCACCACUUGGUGUUGAGUCAGAGAAAAGAGUUGAAAGGAGAGUCACUUAAGCCCUCGAUAUACUCACAGCAGAGCCCCAGAGCACACCUACCUAUUAUUUAACUGCCACUGAUCAAUGAUAGUUCAAAGGCGUUAAUCUGCUGGAGCAAAUCUUUUCAGAAUGUUAGCUUUGGUAAGCUGUUUCAAACUUCCAAAAUGAACUUUAUUUUGGCCUGAUUUCGUUUGAAAUGUCACACGAGUUUGUUCUUUGAUUUUGCUUAAAGUACUGUAUAUCGGGGUCUUAAAGUUAUAGUCAAGACAUGUUUGCUCCUCAUAUAGAUCCCUGUUAAAGCUGUGUCUGAUUGUGUGUUAUUGUGUUUCAUUGGUUCUGUUUUAUGUCUCUGUGUGUCAGGAGGCCAUGCAGCAGUGGUACCAACACUACCAUGCACAGAACUAUGGCAACUCUAGCCAAGAGACAGCUGCAGUUACUGAAUGCACAAAAGAGCAACCUCAGGUGGUGGUCACCUCCUCAUACGGAGACUACAGUUCCUACAUGCAUGCUGUCAGUCAGUACUAUUCUCAGACGCAGAUGAGCCAGACAGCUGCUCAAGUCUACCAGCACCGAGAUGUCAGCAAGGAGGUGGAGGUGGUGAAGACCCCCUUGAGUGGGCCUCUGCACACCUCUCUGAACGGCACUGCUCAGACCCUGCUGCCCACCUACAGUGCCCUACCCAUCAUGCCUAGCUUCAUCACACCAACUCACACGCACACACACGUGCCCAGUCCUGCCGCGCACACACCCGCCGCACCCUCAGCCACCGACUGGAACAACUACUAUUAUAGUCAGGCUAGAGGGCAGAAGAGAGAAUACCCCACACUGCCGACACAGGAAGUGACAUCAGAGGGGCCGUAUGUAGGCCAGCACUCACAGGGUCUUGGGGGACAGUACGCCGACUACUUCAAGAAGAAGAGGAUCUAACUCGUAUGUUGCCGUUGUCAUGUCCAGGCCUUAACUUUUAGUCUAUUACUGAUAUUUAUGAAAAGAUUGUACAAUUUAUUGUGCGUAAGGAGGUUUAUUCCUCUUCUUGAACUGUAUGUGGAUGUGGGUACUGUUGUUAUUUCUGUCCGACGCCAGGCGGGACCUCUUAAGAUUGCUCUGACUCUGUCCCAAAUGAUGCAUUAAGAUAAUUGAUAUAGCUCUUUUUCUGUUCUGCCUGUUUACCUCUGCCCCAGGCGGGACGUACCAUUCCACUCCUGAGGGGGGGUUUAUGUGUCCGUGUUUUACUGUACAAAUGGUUAAGGGCUGAUAAAGAUUGAGCUACACUCAGAGAAUAACAAUUUUCAAAGAUUAUUUUUUUCUGACAGGGUAGGGCAUAGCCAAUGUAUAUUGCAUAUUCUGCUAAAUUGGUGUAUUUUUUACUGUGUACAGACAUUGAGGAUAUUAUUACUAUUAAUGUCUUGCUUAAUGUGUCACUGUUUAUCUUGACUAUCGAUUCGCUUUCCGAAGUGUACAGGAAACGCGUGUUCAUAUCAUUGAGGAUUAAUCUUUAAUGUGUGUCUUUGAACAUACUGCUGUAUCUGUAGGAACGAUCAGCCAUUCUGAAUACUGCAGGAGCCUUAAAACACGGCGCUCAGAGAAGACAUGGCUAAGGCAAUAACCUCUACCUUCUCUGGAGAAACUACGUCAAGGUGACUUUUCCCCCAGGUGUCGGUGGGAUGGCCUCCACACAACUUUCAGCUACGAUGCUGCCAGUGGUUUCUUUUUAAUAACAGUAUGAGUAAUAAUACAUUAGUAUAGUAGUAGUAAUAAUCUGCUGGAAGGGUGUCAAGGGUCGGAGGCGUUACAUAUAGGAUAAACACCUGGCAAACAGCCCUGAUGCAAACACCCACUUGGUAAUAAUUUAACAUAAUGUCUUUAUAUGGAUAUUAGUGGUCUGUUAUUCUGUGGUUUAAUCUCUUUUUCUUUAAUGGAGAGAGUCUGUAAUUUUGGUGAGUUUAUGCUGCAAAAAAUCUGUUUUUAAUCCAUAGCAGUUAUUUAAUUUUUUUGCUAAAAUAUACAUUUAAAAAGAUAAAUAUACUUGAGAGG